CAGCCGUAAACUAUGCGCGUUAGGUGUAUCGGUGACCACGAGUUACCGAGGUGCCGAAGGGAAACCGUGAAACGUGCCGCCUGGGAAGUACGGUCGCAAGGCUGAAACUUAAAGGAAUUGGCGGGGGAGCACCACAACAGGUGGAGCCUGCGGUUUAAUUGGACUCAACGCCGGGAAGCUCACCGGAUAGGACAGCAGAAGUGAUUGCCGGGCUGAAGACCCUGCAUGACUAGCUGAGAGGAGGUGCAUGGCGUAGACGUCU
RNAcentral lists this ribosomal RNA (262 nucleotides) under uncultured archaeon. RNAcentral describes it as "partial 16S ribosomal RNA". It matches the Rfam family "Archaeal small subunit ribosomal RNA", at positions 748 to 1009 of the family's 1478-position model. The record is from RNAcentral.